UCUUCCGGGAGGGGGGACCUAUGUCUUCAUAUACCACUUCGUGUAGAAAGUCUUAGAAUGUUUUACUAUCGGAGAGUCGCGACUUCUAGGAGACGCGAAUCUACGAGAUAAAAGUUAAUUACAACUUUCAGCAAUGGAUCUCUUGGCUCUCGCAUCGAUGAAGAACGCAGCGAAAAGCGAUAUGUAAUGUGAAUUGCAGAUCUACAGUGAAUCAUCGAAUCUUUGAACGCACCUUGCGCUCCUCGGUGUUCCGAGGAGCAUGCCUGUUUGAGUGUCAGUAAAUUCUCAACCCCUCUCGAUUUGUUUCGAGGGGGAGAUUGGAUGGUGGGGGCUGCCGGAGACUAGGACUCGUCCUGGACUCGGGCUCUCCUUAAAUGCAUCGGCUUGCGGUCGACUUUCGACUUUGCGCGACAAGGCUUUCGGCGUGAUAAUGAUCGCCGUUCGCUGAAGCGCAUGAAUGAAGGUCCCGCGCCUCUAAUACGUCGACUGUUACUAUCUCUUCGGAGAGAAAACGUCUUCCUCAAUUGAC
This 529-nucleotide ribosomal RNA is filed under the name fungal sp. JH 131. RNAcentral's name for it is "eukaryotic LSU rRNA". The stretch from base 123 to 277 matches the Rfam family "5.8S ribosomal RNA". The record is from RNAcentral. Lineage: Eukaryota; Fungi.